GAUGAACGCUGGCGGCGUGCCUAAUACAUGCAAGUCGAGCGAACAGACGAGGAGCUUGCUCCUCUGACGUUAGCGGCGGACGGGUGAGUAACACGUGGAUAACCUACCUAUAAUACUGGGAUAACUUCGGGAAACCGGAGCUAAUACCGGAUAAUAUAUUGAACCGCAUGUUUCAAUAGUUAAAGACGGUUUUGCUGUCACUUAUAGAUGUAUCCGCGCCGCAUUAUCUAGUUGGUAAGGUAACGGCUUACCAAGGCGACGAUGCGUAGCCGACCUGAGAGGGUGAUCGGCCACACUGGAACUGAGACACGGUCCAGACUCCUACGGGAGGCAGCAGUAGGGAAUCUUCCGCAAUGGGCGAAAGCCUGACGGAGCAACGCCGCGUGAGUGAUGAAGGUCUUCGGAUCGUAAAACUCUGUUAUUAGGGAAGAACAAAUGUGUAAGUAACUAUGCACGUCUUGACGGUACCUAAUCAGAAAGCCACGGCUAACUACGUG
This 497-nucleotide ribosomal RNA is filed under the name uncultured bacterium. Its description in RNAcentral is "partial 16S ribosomal RNA". It matches the Rfam family "Bacterial small subunit ribosomal RNA", at positions 28 to 507 of the family's 1533-position model. The record is from RNAcentral.